ACAGGUGCUGCAUGGCUGUCGUCAGCUCGUGUUGUGAAAUGUUGGGUUAAGUCCCGCAACGAGCGCAACCCUUAUCCUUUGUUGCCAGCGGUCCGGCCGGGAACUCAAAGGAGACUGCCAGUGAUAAACUGGAGGAAGGUGGGGAUGACGUCAAGUCAUCAUGGCCCUUACGACCAGGGCUACACACGUGCUACAAUGGCAUAUACAAAGAGAAGCGACCUCGCGAGAGCAAGCGGACCUCAUAAAGUAUGUCGUAGUCCGGAUUGGAGUCUGCAACUCGACUCCAUGAAGUCGGAAUCGCUAGUAAUCGUAGAUCAGAAUGCUACGGUGAAUACGUUCCCGGGCCUUGUA
Molecule: ribosomal RNA, 351 nt
Filed under: Klebsiella pneumoniae
Lineage: Bacteria; Pseudomonadati; Pseudomonadota; Gammaproteobacteria; Enterobacterales; Enterobacteriaceae
Description: bacterial SSU rRNA
Rfam family: Bacterial small subunit ribosomal RNA
Source: RNAcentral